ACGGAAGGCAGCAGUGGGGAAUAUUGCACAAUGGGGGAAACCCUGAUGCAGCGACGCCGCGUGAGUGAAGAAGUAUUUCGGUAUGUAAAGCUCUAUCAGCAGGAAAGAAAAUGACGGUACCUGACUAAGAAGCCCCGGCUAACUACGUGCCAGCAGCCGCGGUAAUACGUAGGGAGCAAGCGUUAUCCGGAUUUAUUGGGUGUAAAGGGUGCGUAGACGGGAAAUUAAGUUAGUUGUGAAAUCCCUCGGCUUAACUGAGGAACUGCAACUAAAACUGGUUUUCUUGAGUGCGGGAGAGGAAAGUGGAAUUCCUAGUGUAGCGGUGAAAUGCGUAGAUAUUAGGAGGAACACCAGUGGCGAAGGCGACUUUCUGGACCGUAACUGACGUUGAGGCACGAAAGUGUGGGGAGCAAACAGGAUUAGAUACCCUGGUA
RNAcentral lists this ribosomal RNA (434 nucleotides) under uncultured Lachnospiraceae bacterium. Its description in RNAcentral is "partial 16S ribosomal RNA". It matches the Rfam family "Bacterial small subunit ribosomal RNA", at positions 341 to 792 of the family's 1533-position model. Lineage: Bacteria; Bacillati; Bacillota; Clostridia; Lachnospirales; Lachnospiraceae. The record is from RNAcentral.